GGAGGUCAGAGCUCGGCGGGGUGCGGCUAGUGGCGGAGCGCACUGCGAGGGGAGGGCUUUCCACUGUGGCUGGCGUGAACUCGCGUGCCCGGCUUCACCAGGUACUGCUUUCUAACUUGAGUUGGCCAUUUCCACAUGUCAGAUAGGACCAAUUUUCCUUUUAACUACCCACGUAAUACUUAAACACUGUUGCCGGUAUCACAGCUUUUCUUCAAAACAGAGCAGUCAGUGAAGGCUCCCCAGGGGAGAUGACGUUUGAGCCGAGUUUCAGAAGAUGAUUGGAGUUUACCGUGUGUUCACAGGAAGCAACAAGAAUGAGGGCAUUCCAGUAGCAGGAGACAGCAUGCAUAGAGAUGCUGAUGAAGAAAGAGCCUAGCGCACAUGGGAAACUGCAAAAGUUCAGACUGGUUGGAAUGCUGGAAAUGUUGUGAAUGACAGGAGAUGAGGCUGGCGAGAAAACAGAGGUCAGAUUGUGGAAGGUUGUCAAGCCAAAGACUUUGAUUUUAUUCUUGAGAUUGAUGAGAUGUGUGUAAUCCAGGAGUGUGCAAGACAAUCUGUAAGGGUUCAUAAAACAUACUGCUUCUAUGUAUAGUUACCUUUGUCUUAACUUU
Molecule: long non-coding RNA, 611 nt
Filed under: Pongo abelii (Sumatran orangutan)
Lineage: Eukaryota; Metazoa; Chordata; Mammalia; Primates; Hominidae
Description: lincRNA
Source: RNAcentral